RNAcentral lists this microRNA precursor (90 nucleotides) under Dendroctonus ponderosae (mountain pine beetle). RNAcentral describes it as "mir-2944 microRNA precursor family". It matches the Rfam family "mir-2944 microRNA precursor family". Lineage: Eukaryota; Metazoa; Arthropoda; Insecta; Coleoptera; Curculionidae. The record is from Rfam by way of RNAcentral.
AAGGGAUUCUGGCUUGAAGGAACUUCUGGUGUGAUAUGUCGUUUUUGUAUCGUAUCACAGCCAGUAGUUACCUACGAUAUGGAAUCCCGA